GCCACUCAGAGAAACGUCUUAAAUCAGAGUUUGGUAUCCUCCGGCGACGCCCCGCGUGAGCGGGGCCGGGGGCCCGGGGGGCCGACCGCCGAAGCAACAUGUAGGUAUGUUCACAAAGGGUCAUAGAGUGGAACUCGACCUCCGUAGGGUAACCUGCGGAGGGAUCAUUAUCGAGUUACCACGGUCUAUAACCCUUUGUGAACAUACCUACAUGUUGCUUCGGCGGUCGGCCCCCCGGGCCCCCGGCCCCGCUCACGCGGGGCGUCCGCCGGAGGAUAACCAAACUCUGAUUUAACGACGUUUCUUCUGAGUGGCACAAGCAAAUAAUCAAAACUUUUAACAACGGAUCUCUUGGUUCUGGCAUCGAUGAAGAACGCAGCGAAAUGCGAUAAGUAAUGUGAAUUGCAGAAUUCAGUGAAUCAUCGAAUCUUUGAACGCACAUUGCGCCCGCCAGCAUUCUGGCGGGCAUGCCUGUUCGAGCGUCAUUUCAACCCUCAAGCACUGCUUGGUGUUGGGGCUCUACGGUUGACGUAGGCCCCCAAAACUAGUGGCGGACCCUCUCGGAGCCUCCUUUGCGUAGUAACUUUUGUCUCGCACUGGGAUUCGGAGGGAUUCUAGCCGUUAAACCCCCAAUUUUCUAAAGGUUGACCUCGGAUCAGGUAGGAAUACCCGCUGAACUUAAGCAUAUCAAUAAGCGGAGGUA
RNAcentral lists this ribosomal RNA (703 nucleotides) under Colletotrichum gloeosporioides. RNAcentral's name for it is "eukaryotic LSU rRNA". The stretch from base 332 to 485 matches the Rfam family "5.8S ribosomal RNA". The record is from RNAcentral. Lineage: Eukaryota; Fungi; Ascomycota; Sordariomycetes; Glomerellales; Glomerellaceae.